AUAUAUAUAUAGUAAUGAGGCUGUAUAUGAGCAUUAGAAAUUUUGUUUUCAAGAUCUUAUAAAAUCCCCCAAGAAAUAGUAGUACUAAUAAAAUGGAGUUUAAGGCAUAUAAGGAAACGAACGAGGUGUUAUGCUAUUUGUAGUGCAUGAGAAGUUAUCAGCCAGGAGGUGACAUGUUAUUUCACUAGCAUUAGAUGACUACAAUGUGUGUUUGAUCCCUUUUAAUCUCUUAUUGUACUUAUAUUUCUACCAGUAGAUGGCUUAUGGAUGCAAUGUAUAUUAGACUUUGCUGCAAAGAAGGUUGGGGCCUCAAACCCAUUGU
RNAcentral lists this unclassified non-coding RNA (322 nucleotides) under Hevea brasiliensis (rubber tree). Lineage: Eukaryota; Viridiplantae; Streptophyta; Magnoliopsida; Malpighiales; Euphorbiaceae. The record is from RNAcentral.